CUACGGGUUGCAGCAGUGGGGAAUAUUGCACAAUGGGCGCAAGCCUGAUGCAGCCAUGCCGCGUGUAUGAAGAAGGCCUUCGGGUUGUAAAGUACUUUCAGCGGGGAGGAAGGGAGUAAAGUUAAUACCUUUGCUCAUUGACGUUACCCGCAGAAGAAGCACCGGCUAACUCCGUGCCGGCAGCCGCGGUAAUACGGAGGGUGCAAGCGUUAAUCGGAAUUACUGGGCGUAAAGCGCACGAAGGCGGUUUGUUAAGUCAGAUGUGAAAUCCCCGGGCUCAACCUGGGAACUGCAUCUGAUACUGGCAAGCUUGAGUCUCGUAGAGGGGGGUAGAAUUCCAGGUGUAGCGGUGAAAUGCGUAGAGAUCUGGAGGAAUACCGGUGGCGAAGGCGGCCCCCUGGACGAAGACUGACGCUCAGGUGCGAAAGCGUGGGGAGCAAACAGGAUUAGAUACCCCCGUAGUC
Molecule: ribosomal RNA, 464 nt
Filed under: uncultured bacterium
Lineage: Bacteria
Description: partial 16S ribosomal RNA
Rfam family: Bacterial small subunit ribosomal RNA
Source: RNAcentral